GUUUUAGAUAAUUUAUUUUGAUAGGAUUGUUACAGUGUGUUGUGUGUUCUUUCAGCUUUGAUUCAUUUCAAUAUUAGAGGUCAGAUUCAAGUCUUCUAUCUAGUGUUGUUUCAGGCUUUAGCCAGAAUAUUUUUUAAUGGUUUAUGCUGUUCAUUAACUUACUGUUUCUUGAAAUUUGCUUUCUAAUAGAAUGAUGCCAAUGGGUGGAAUGAUGCCACCUGGACCAGGAAUACCACCUCUGAUGCCUGGAAUGCCACCAGGUAUGCCCCCACCUGUUCCACGUCCUGGAAUUCCUCCAAUGACCCAAGCACAGGCUGUUUCAGCGCCAGGUAUUCUUAAUAGACCACCUGCACCAACAGCAACUGUACCUGCCCCACAGCCUCCAGUUACUAAGCC
This 396-nucleotide small RNA is filed under the name Pongo abelii (Sumatran orangutan). RNAcentral's name for it is "retained intron". Lineage: Eukaryota; Metazoa; Chordata; Mammalia; Primates; Hominidae. The record is from RNAcentral.